RNAcentral lists this ribosomal RNA (777 nucleotides) under Bacillus safensis. Its description in RNAcentral is "bacterial SSU rRNA". It matches the Rfam family "Bacterial small subunit ribosomal RNA", at positions 36 to 794 of the family's 1533-position model. The record is from RNAcentral. Lineage: Bacteria; Bacillati; Bacillota; Bacilli; Caryophanales; Bacillaceae.
CUGGCGGCGUGCCUAUCAUGCAAGUCGAGCGGACAGAAGGGAGCUUGCUCCCGGAUGUUAGCGGCGGACGGGUGAGUAACACGUGGGUAACCUGCCUGUAAGACUGGGAUAACUCCGGGAAACCGGAGCUAAUACCGGAUAGUUCCUUGAACCGCAUGGUUCAAGGAUGAAAGACGGUUUCGGCUGUCACUUACAGAUGGACCCGCGGCGCAUUAGCUAGUUGGUGGGGUAAUGGCUCACCAAGGCGACGAUGCGUAGCCGACCUGAGAGGGUGAUCGGCCACACUGGGACUGAGACACGGCCCAGACUCCUACGGGAGGCAGCAGUAGGGAAUCUUCCGCAAUGGACGAAAGUCUGACGGAGCAACGCCGCGUGGAGUGAUGAAGGUUUUCGGAUCGUAAAGCUCUGUUGUUAGGGAAGAACAAGUGCGAGAGUAACUGCUCGCACCUUGACGGUACCUAACCAGAAAGCCACGGCUAACUACGUGCCAGCAGCCGCGGUAAUACGUAGGUGGCAAGCGUUGUCCGGAAUUAUUGGGCGUAAAGGGCUCGCAGGCGGUUUCUUAAGUCUGAUGUGAAAGCCCCCGGCUCAACCCGGGAGGGUCAUUGGAAACUGGGGAAACUUGAGUGCAGAAAAAGAGAGUGGAAUUCCACCGUGUAGCGGUGAAAUGCCUAAAAAAUGUGGAAGAACCCCAGUGGCGAAGGCGACUCUCUGGUCUGUAACUGACGCUGAGGAGCGAAAGCGUGGGGAGCGAACAGGAUUAGAUACCCUGGUAGU